Molecule: long non-coding RNA, 269 nt
Filed under: Gossypium raimondii (Peruvian cotton)
Lineage: Eukaryota; Viridiplantae; Streptophyta; Magnoliopsida; Malvales; Malvaceae
Description: long non-coding RNA (GRAI_LNC011007)
Source: RNAcentral
UAAACUCAAGCUCAAAUAAACAUAAACCAUUCAUCAAGCAAAUUUAAGCCAUCAAGGAUAAACAACUUACAUACACAAUGGGCACACAAUGGGCAGACCAUGGAGGCGUUUUAAGGAGUUUCCCUCGCAAGAGCACCUAUGCUUCUCUCUCAAAAGCAUCCUCUUCUUUUACUGUGCUAAAAACUUUUAUAACCUUUCUCUUUAUCAACGCUCAGAAAAAACGAAUGAGAGAUCUAAUAAUUCUAUGUAUGUGGGAGAGCCAAACACCA